This 431-nucleotide long non-coding RNA is filed under the name Homo sapiens (human). Its description in RNAcentral is "non-protein coding lnc-FAM156B-4:1". Lineage: Eukaryota; Metazoa; Chordata; Mammalia; Primates; Hominidae. The record is from RNAcentral.
UGCACACACACAUCCCUCAGGUGAGGGUAGGGUGGUCUCCUGUGUACUCCUAGGGGACCGUGGGUUGAAUUCUGCCAUGGCUCUCCUUACCCCCCAAGUGUGGGGGUCAUCUGCCAGCAAGGAUACAGCCGAAACCUCCCCCUGUCCCCAGAGUGUCCGGUCAGCACUUCAGAACAAGUUUAUUCAGUUAAUAAAGGAAUUUCACCCAGAGUACUUGGUCAGUAAUGGCUAUGAUGGUAGCAGCUCUGUGUGCCUUAGAAAUGCUCCAGGAGAAUCGAGUGAACAGAGGACAUCUGUGCAAUGAGAUUCUCCUCCCCUGGAGUUCGGGAGGAGGGUUGUACCUUUCCUCUCUUCCCUAAUUCCAGAACUCCUAGUAAAAGAGGCUACAAAAUUAUUUGUUUAUUUUAGAUAGAGACUAGCUCUGUCACCCA